AAUUCAUAGCAUCCAUUAUUCUAUCCACUCAAUCCAUGGGUAGAGGACUACAAAAAUGUAUGAUUUUUGGUCUCUAUGUAUUUUUUGUACUAGAGUUUGUGAUCAAUGGUGUGGAUCCUCAACUAGGAGGGUCCAUCAUCGAUUUCAAAUAUUUAAAUCUUUUACCAAGAUUUAGUGUUUCAUGUGUAGCCUAAGCCAGUAGGAAAUAUCUGUGAAAGUUCUGAAAGUCAAAAUCUCGUUGAUAUACCCACUUCGGGUAGAGCACGUUGGAUUUACUUCUUUAGAAACUUGAAGAGUAUCCUUGAUAGAUUGGUCUUGCUUUUCAGAGAUGUUAAUGAGUGCCCA
RNAcentral lists this long non-coding RNA (345 nucleotides) under Elaeis guineensis (African oil palm). Its description in RNAcentral is "long non-coding RNA (EGUI_LNC023164)". The record is from RNAcentral. Lineage: Eukaryota; Viridiplantae; Streptophyta; Magnoliopsida; Arecales; Arecaceae.